RNAcentral lists this long non-coding RNA (391 nucleotides) under Homo sapiens (human). Its description in RNAcentral is "non-protein coding lnc-HERC2-2:1". The record is from RNAcentral. Lineage: Eukaryota; Metazoa; Chordata; Mammalia; Primates; Hominidae.
AUGAGCAGGACCUUUGAGGUACUGACCAAGAGACGGUGUCCAUCAGCAUCCGGGCCUCCCUGCAGCAGACCCAGGCUGUCCCUCUUUUGAUGGCUCAUCAGUACCUCCGCGGAAGUGUAGAAACCCAGGUGACCAUCGCGACGGCCAUCCUCGCGGGCGUCUACGCGCUGAUCAUAUUUGAAUCGUGCACAGAACUCUGGCGGCCAUGCUGGGUUCCCUUGCAGCACUGGCAGCACUGGCUGUGAUUGGCGAAGACCCAGCCUGACCCAUGUGGUGGAGUGGAUUGAUUUUGAGACGCUGGCCCUGCUGUUUGGCAUAUGAUCUUAGUAGCCAUAUUUUCAGAAACGGGAUUUUUCGAUUAUUGUGCUGUAAAGGUAGGUAUGAUGUUGCA